CAGUCGCCGCGGGAACACGAAGGGUGCAAGCGUUAAUCGGAAUUACUGGGCGUAAAGCGUGCGUAGGCGGUUUGUUAAGUCUGUUGUGAAAUCCCCGGGCUCAACCUGGGAAUGGCAAUGGAUACUGGCAAGCUAGAGUGUGUCAGAGGAUGGUGGAAUUCCCGGUGUAGCGGUGAAAUGCGUAGAGAUCGGGAGGAACAUCAGUGGUGAAGGCGGCCAUCUGGGACAACACUGACGCUGAGGCACGAAAGCGUGGGGAGCAAACAGGAUUAGAUACCCCAGUAGUCCCUGUCUCUUAUAC
Molecule: ribosomal RNA, 301 nt
Filed under: uncultured bacterium
Lineage: Bacteria
Description: partial 16S ribosomal RNA
Rfam family: Bacterial small subunit ribosomal RNA
Source: RNAcentral